RNAcentral lists this unclassified non-coding RNA (3906 nucleotides) under Leishmania donovani. RNAcentral's name for it is "gene:LdHU3.36.5390(CDS-product:Zinc_finger_C3HC4_ type_(RING_finger)_containing_protein_putative)". Lineage: Eukaryota; Euglenozoa; Kinetoplastea; Trypanosomatida; Trypanosomatidae. The record is from RNAcentral.
GUUUGAACUUAGUGGAGGCUGACACCGCCGGUGCGCUCUUAUAGACAUAAGAACUUUCUUCGUGGUCUCCCAGACCCUCUCUCACAGAUCAGCAUCACCCACCGUUUCCGUUUCCUUCCACCCAAGUUUAUUUUUCCCUCGCGCACCUCUCAAGCGAGUGUGUCCUCUCUCCCACCCCUCCUUCCUUUGCCUCCCUCUUCACCCUCCACUUCUCCCCAUCCUCUCACCACACCAUACGCUGUGCUUCUGUUGUGGUACGGCCUCCCACGUCCCGCUUCUUUGCGAUUCACCACUAAGCCGUAGCAACCGGCCCUCUUCUCUUCCGUUCGCUCGCGCUUCAGCUGCUCCGUGAAUACUGUUCUUCUUGCCUUUUUUCCAGCUACCCUUUAUGUGCCCCCGCUUUUGUAUGUGCGUGUGUGUGCUGCGGCUGUCUCUGCUCUUUUCUCUCCCUCGCACGUGUAUAACUGUGAGCAGGAGCCUCUUUCCUGCCUGUCGUUCCUCUUGCCUCUCCUCCCCCCAUCAGUAUUCCGUUGACGCGUUUCAUUUUUAUUUCUAUGAGACCUUUCAGCGCGUUUUGAGCCGUCAAGUCCCUACUUGUCCCUCCGACUUUUCUCUCUACGCCUUUUUUUUCUGCCCCACACUCCCUCCAUUCGCAAAGCCCCACAGACCCCUUAUUGCUGUCUGAUACUCUGCCCUCUCUUCACCCCACCUUCCUUUACGUCUUUCCUUCUGGCCUUUCCUUUUCUGUUUUAUUGCUUUCCUAUUGCUCUUGUUUCUCUCAGCGGAACUGCUCGUGCUCUGGGUCUGCACUCUUCACCUUCCCUCCUCCUCUGCCGAGCGUCUUCGCUGACGGGCGCUUCUCCCUCUCCUCUCCCCUCCCCCUCCCUGACUUGCUGCGCGAGUGGGGCAAAAGAGAAUGGGGUGCUGCUGUUGUUACCCCUCCGAUUUUAGGGCCGCCCGGCAGGCUUCCUCGCCGCUGCAGCGACGGCCGAGCUCUGUUGAACACCGCUCCUUCGAACAAAAUGUGUUCCAUCGGGCAAAGCAACCGGCGAAGACUAGAUACAUCUGCGACCUGUGCGGCGUUGAGGUCGACCCGACCCUCUUUGACGGCCACCAGGAGGUCUGCCGCACAAACCACCUCCGCACCAUCCUAGCCAAGAAUGCCGCGCUUCUCUCCCAUGCAAACAUUCAGCCAUCGUCCUCGGCGAAGUUUCACGACGAUGCAGCGUCGGGAGACAAGGAGCUGUGCUUGGUAUGCAUGGAUCGACCUCGCAGCUACGCCUUUCUGCCAUGCGGGCACAUUAGCUGCUGUCAGGAGUGCACCAAGUCUCUCGAUCAGUGCCCCCUCUGUCGGCAGCCGCGCGAGGGGCUCUGCCAUGUUUCACCAAACGUGACUGCGCAGUACGAGUGCAAGCACUGUCACGAGCUCAUCGCACCCACCCUCUUCGAUGGACAUCGCGAAGUUUGCGGCUUGCGACAGCGUCAAACGCAGCGCGAGGCCGAGGAGGCUGCUGCCGCCGCAGCGGCAGCGGCAGUGACCGUGGGUGUUCCCGUAGAGGCCGCUGAGAAUUCGGCUACCUGGCAGAACAGCACCAAGUCGAUGCCGAGCAGGAGCCCGCCCCAAGCAGCUGUCGCCACACCGCCUGACUCCAUGUUAUCCACAGCGACAGCGCCGGCACGCAACCCAACACGCUCGCUCUCGCACGUCUGCCUAGAGUGCGGCAAAACGUAUGGCCAGCUGGUUGUCUGUGUACCGUGUGGGCACCGCGUACUGUGCUACACCUGCUCCCAGAAGCGUACGACGUGCCCCGUGUGCGUGAGUGAGAUUCGCGACAUAAUCGUGGCGUUCGACUGAGGCGAGAGCGGUGCUUGUACUGUUUCUUUCCUCGUGAGACCCGUCCGGCACUGCGUUCCGCGUGUAGAACGAUGAGUGUGAUGAGGAUGAUGGCGCAGCCGGUAAUCAUGCUCACAUGGAGCUACGGACUUUGCUGUGUUUGGUCUAUUCUCUCACAUCGCAGAGCUGGCGCAGAGCAGAGACGUGCGCGACAGAGGGGUGGGUGGGUGGGAGGGGCGCAAGCGACAAGAGUGACGCUCAUAUAGAAAGAAUAGGAGGGCACAUAAGAUCGAGAAAGGGGCAAUGGCGAGCCCUUCUGCUUCACACGCCCACGUCAGACCUGUUCAUGGAUGCUUGCGCACGAGCGCAGUUGCUCAGUACUUUGUGUCUCGUGCUUGGAUGGUUCGCGAGUCUCUUUGCACCUUUACUUCAGCAUAUACUGCCGCACAGGCAGAUUUUGAGUCCUCGGCGGAGGCGCGCCAUUCAGAAUCAUAUCCACGGUGAUUUUGUUCUUCAUCGCUUGAUCUGGCCGCAACUCUCGCCGCUGUGUGCCGAUUCACCGCCGCGCGAGGCAUGCGUCUUCCGGACAACUUAGGUUCUUUCCCCUUUCUUUGGGGCGCCAAGGCUGCAAGUGCGGUCUAGUUUUCACUGAAUUUCGGUUAAUGGCAUAAGAUGAUAGAAACCGGUGACGUAGCUCAGCUUCAAAUGGCUGUCUUCUUUGCGCUGCGCACUUCCUUCUCUCGGCCGGUUUUGGCAAGUGGGGGAGGGAGGGAGGGAGGAGCAGGCCAAAAGGGAAGGGGAGCAAGGGCGUUUGUUGUGCAAUAUGCCCCUGUUGCCAUCAGCUGCUACUGUCGCCUCUCUCGGUGCUGCCAGCAGACAGUCCGCUGCUCUGUUUGUGUCUGCUUCUUUCCCCCUUCUAUCAGAAGGGCGCAAAGGACGGUGGCCGAUGUUUUUUUGUUGUUUUCGUCUUACUCUUUUCUGCUGUGCUGCGUCCUUCCGUCAUUUUUCAUCUUUUCAAAAAAAAAAGGGCACCCCCUUUUUUGUGUGGUGGUGGUGGGUUUUCUUGCAGCUGCCGCCCCUUCUGUUUGUUUCCUUGUUGUGUGGGUGUGCUCAUCAAACCGAGAAACCGUUGAGGAGGGGGCGGGGGCAGGGAGCGGAGAGGGGAGUGCCAGACAUGAGCUUCAGUUUAACACCCUCCUUUCCCGCCUCUCUUUCUACCUCUGCCCAUCACCCAUUUUUUCUUUUUCGGGUUAGCGUGUAUGCGCACGCGCGAUGGAAUCGGUCAACUCACACCGCUCAUUCUCUUUUCUCCGCCUUGUCAUCUCUUUCCGUCUUUACUCGAUUUGGUUUCUCUUGUUUCGUUUUUUUUUUGUUUUCUCUCUCGCAUGUCCGCUGUUUUGAAUCUUCUGAUGAUCUUUUCUUCCUCGGCGUUGUUUCAUUGCCGUGUCUCAUCCGGCCCCCUCCCCCUUUCCCCACUUCCCUUCGCCAUCUCUCCUGCCUGCAUGUCUCUUCCCUUUUGUUGUUUUGGCUUUCACGCGUCUUUGUCGAUGUUUGCUGAAUCACUGUUUCGCUCCCCCCUCUGACGUCACCCUGUGCCUUUUUUGGAUUGCGUUCAUUUGCUCGCCACUUUUUCUUUGUUCCCACCACUUUUCGGAUUGUGUCUUGCCUUGUUUUGCCUCUCCUCUUCUUUGUUUUCGGUGCCCGUUACUGUUUCGCUUGCCGCCGUGGUUGCUCGAGUCCGUGACUCGACUACACGCACCCCCUCCUCCUCCUCCUCUUUCUCUGUGUGUCUACGGCGUCCAUCCCCCCUUGUUCCUUCCACCACUGUCGUGUGUGUGCGUGUGUAUGGGAGGAUGCGCACAUGAGAGGCACAACCCGUCUCUCAUGUGCGUGGGUUUACGUGAACACCCUAGUAAAACGAAAGCAUCGACAGCAAUAUCUGGAACGACCUCAUCAAAGGAAAAUAAGCAGCCACGAGGCCUGACGCUUUUAUAGCUCCUCGCUCUGACGGGAGGGCUAUGCAUGCCUAUCGCGGCCAGUGUUUAUGACGCACAGGCUGCCUUCUGCUUUUU